This 464-nucleotide ribosomal RNA is filed under the name uncultured bacterium. RNAcentral describes it as "partial 16S ribosomal RNA". It matches the Rfam family "Bacterial small subunit ribosomal RNA", at positions 29 to 507 of the family's 1533-position model. The record is from RNAcentral.
AUGAACGCUGGCGGCGUGCUUAACACAUGCAAGUCGAACGGAAAGGCCCCUUUGGGGGUACUCGAGUGGCGAACGGGUGAGUAACACGUGAGUAACCUGCCCUUGACUUCGGGAUAACUUCAGGAAACUGGGGCUAAUACCGGAUAGGAAUCCUUGCUGCAUGGUGGGGGUUGGAAAGCUUCGGCGGUUUUGGAUGGACUCGCGGCUUAUCAGCUUGUUGGUGGGGUAGUGGCUUACCAAGGCUUUGACGGGUAGCCGGCCUGAGAGGGCGACCGGCCACAUUGGGACUGAGAUACGGCCCAGACUCCUACGGGAGGCAGCAGUGGGGAAUAUUGCACAAUGGGCGGAAGCCUGAUGCAGCAACGCCGCGUGCGGGAUGACGGCCUUCGGGUUGUAAACCGCUUUCAGCAGGGGCGAAGCUUGUGGUGACGGUACCUGCAGAAGAAGCACCGGCUAACUACGUG